UUAAAUUGAAGAGUUUGAUCAUGGCUCAGAUUGAACGCUGGCGGCAGGCCUAACACAUGCAAGUCGAACGGUAACAGGAAGAAGCUUGCUUCUUUGCUGACGAGUGGCGGACGGGUGAGUAAUGUCUGGGAAACUGCC
Molecule: ribosomal RNA, 138 nt
Filed under: Escherichia coli
Lineage: Bacteria; Pseudomonadati; Pseudomonadota; Gammaproteobacteria; Enterobacterales; Enterobacteriaceae
Also listed under: 2 other names
Description: partial 16S ribosomal RNA
Rfam family: Bacterial small subunit ribosomal RNA
Source: RNAcentral